RNAcentral lists this non-coding RNA (44 nucleotides) under Trichobilharzia regenti. Lineage: Eukaryota; Metazoa; Platyhelminthes; Trematoda; Strigeidida; Schistosomatidae. The record is from RNAcentral.
AGCUGGAAGACGAGUCCCAAACAGGACGAAAGCGCAUCCUGGAU